CUCAUCCUCUGAGACGAUCAUCAUCAUGUUCGCUGUGAAAGCAGUUUGCCUCCUCGCCACCGUUGCUAUGCUUGUUGCAGUUGUGGCUGCGGGAGCUCCGAAUAAAAACUGCAAAUUUACAUUUUCUGGAGAGAGAUGUUCUUAAAAUUAAAGAUGAAGAGACGUCAAGUUUACACUGAAGACGCUAAUCACUAAAAACACUGUGUAGUCAAUUAAUAAAGUAGUCAUGCAUACCUA
Molecule: long non-coding RNA, 237 nt
Organism: Erpetoichthys calabaricus (reedfish)
Lineage: Eukaryota; Metazoa; Chordata; Cladistia; Polypteriformes; Polypteridae
Exons: 4
Source: RefSeq, a predicted model, not a curated record